UGGGGAAUAUUGGACAAUGGGGGCAACCCUGAUCCAGCAAUGCCGCGUGUGUGAAGAAGGUCUUCGGAUUGUAAAGCACUUUCGACGGGGACGAUGAUGACGGUACCCGUAGAAGAAGCCCCGGCUAACUUCGUGCCAGCAGCCGCGGUAAUACGAAGGGGGCUAGCGUUGCUCGGAAUGACUGGGCGUAAAGGGCGUGUAGGCGGUUUACACAGUCAGAUGUGAAAUCCCCGGGCUUAACCUGGGAGCUGCAUUUGAUACGUGUAGACUAGAGUGUGAGAGAGGGUUGUGGAAUUCCCAGUGUAGAGGUGAAAUUCGUAGAUAUUGGGAAGAACACCGGUGGCGAAGGCGGCAACCUGGCUCAUUACUGACGCUGAGGCGCGAAAGCGUGGGGAGCAAACAGGAUUAGAUACCCUGGUAGUCCACGCUGUAA
This 433-nucleotide ribosomal RNA is filed under the name uncultured bacterium. RNAcentral's name for it is "partial 16S ribosomal RNA". It matches the Rfam family "Bacterial small subunit ribosomal RNA", at positions 355 to 805 of the family's 1533-position model. The record is from RNAcentral.